GAUGAACGCUGGCGGCGUGCCUAAUACAUGCAAGUCGAGCGAACAGACGAUGCGCUUGCUCCUCUCACGUUAGCAGCGGACGGGUGAGUAACACGUGGAUUACCUACCUCUAAGACUUGGAUAACUUCGGGAAACCGGAGCUACUACCGGAUAAUAUAUUUAACCUCAUGGUUCAAUAGUGAUAUACGUUUUUGCUGUCACUUCUAGCUGUCUUCUCGCCGCAUUAGCGAGUUGGUAAGGUAACGGCUUACCAUGGCAACGAUGCGUGGCCGACCUGAGAGGGGGAACGGCGACUCAGAAAGUGAAAGGCGGUACAGACACCUACGGGAGGCAGAAGUAGGGAAGCUACGGAAAAGGGCGGAAGAUUGAAGGAGCGACGCAGCGCGAAUGAUGAAGGGCUGCGGAGCGGAAGACGCUGUUAUGAGUGAAGACCAAAUGUGUAAGUAACGAUGCACGUCGUGACGGUACCUAGUCAGAAAGCAACGGCUAACUACGUG
RNAcentral lists this ribosomal RNA (497 nucleotides) under uncultured bacterium. RNAcentral's name for it is "partial 16S ribosomal RNA". It matches the Rfam family "Bacterial small subunit ribosomal RNA", at positions 28 to 507 of the family's 1533-position model. The record is from RNAcentral.